GACGAACGCUGGCGGCGUGCUUAACACAUGCAAGUCGAGCGGCAAGGCCCUUUCGGGGGUACACGAGCGGCGAACGGGUGAGUAACACGUGGGUGACCUGCCCUCAGCUCCGGGAUAAGCCUGGGAAACCGGGUCUAAUACUGGAUAUGACUCCAUGACGCAUGUUGUGGGGUGGAAAGCCUUGUGCGGCUGAGGAUGGGCCCGCGGCCUAUCAGCUUGUUGGUGGGGUGANGGCCUACCAAGGCGACGACGGGUAGCCGGCCUGAGAGGGCGACCGGCCACACUGGGACUGAGACACGGCCCAGACUCCUACGGGAGGCAGCAGUGGGGAAUCUUGCGCAAUGGGCGAAAGCCUGACGCAGCGACGCCGCGUGA
RNAcentral lists this ribosomal RNA (375 nucleotides) under uncultured bacterium. Its description in RNAcentral is "bacterial SSU rRNA". It matches the Rfam family "Bacterial small subunit ribosomal RNA", at positions 28 to 404 of the family's 1533-position model. The record is from RNAcentral.